This 22-nucleotide microRNA is filed under the name Drosophila virilis. RNAcentral describes it as "dvi-miR-9708a-3p". Lineage: Eukaryota; Metazoa; Arthropoda; Insecta; Diptera; Drosophilidae. The record is from miRBase by way of RNAcentral.
AUAUGUGUUGGCUGUGUUCCUC